This is a long non-coding RNA of Mus musculus (house mouse), 523 nucleotides long. RefSeq annotates it as predicted gene, 52521. NCBI's taxonomy places the organism in Eukaryota, Metazoa, Chordata, Mammalia, Rodentia, Muridae. The transcript has 3 exons. The record is from RefSeq and is a predicted model, not a curated record.
GCUGCUCCUAGCAAGCUUUCGUAAAGAGAGACUCCACACUCGGGAACUGAAAACCUAGUUUCUUGAGAGCACAGAGGAAAAACAUGCUUGUAAUAGGUGCUAUACCAAGUGGACCAGACCUUCUGGCACUUUUACCAUCCAUGGAAAGAGAAGCAUAUCAUGCCUGAUAUAAGAUCUCACUAUGUACCUCAAGCUGAUCGUGAAUUCACAGCAUUCUCCUAGAUCAGUCUCCAGAGCACUGAAAUGACAAGCACUUCACCAUUCCCUCAAUGACCUGCAAUUAUUUAACAGAAGAAAACUUACCCUCUCAUGAGAGAAAUUACAAAGAAAAUCUGUCUAAGGGUUUCUCCCUCUCUGUACAGACAGUGAAGGUGCCUCUAAAUCACCAAAGCAUAUGUACCACGUACAGCCUCUCCUUCUUGGUUUACCAAUCUGUUUUGGCCAUCUCCCAGAACUGGGCUAUUUCAAAGGUAUUCAUACCUCAAUUCAAGCCUAUUCACUGGGCUAUACUAGAAAAUAAAUU